This 439-nucleotide ribosomal RNA is filed under the name uncultured bacterium. Its description in RNAcentral is "partial 16S ribosomal RNA". It matches the Rfam family "Bacterial small subunit ribosomal RNA", at positions 339 to 795 of the family's 1533-position model. The record is from RNAcentral.
CUACGGGACGCUGCAGUGGGGAAUAUUGCACAAUGGGGGGAACCCUGAUGCAGCAACGCCGCGUGGAGGAUGACGCAUUUCGGUGUGUAAACUCCUUUUAUAUGUCAAGAAGAUGACGGUAGCAUAUGAAUAAGCACCGGCUAACUCCGUGCCAGCAGCCGCGGUAAUACGGAGGGUGCAAGCGUUACUCGGAAUCACUGGGCGUAAAGGACGCGUAGGCGGGUUGGAAAGUCAGGUGUGAAAUCCUACAGCUUAACUGUAGAACUGCACUUGAAACUUCUAAUCUAGAGUAUGGGAGGGGGAGAUGGAAUUAGUGGUGUAGGGGUAAAAUCCGUAGAUAUCACUAGGAAUACCUAAAGCGAAGGCGAUCUCCUGGAACAUUACUGACGCUAAGGCGUGAAAGCGUGGGGAGCAAACAGGAUUAGAUACCCCGGUAGUC